GAUGAACGCUGGCGGCGUGCCUAAUACAUGCAAGUCGAGCGAACAGACGAGGAGCUUGCUCCUCUGACGUUAGCGGCGGACGGGUGAGUAACACGUGGAUAACCUACCUAUAAGACUGGGAUAACUUCGGGAAACCGGAGCUAAUACCGGAUAACAUGUGGAACCGCAUGGUUCAACAGUGAAAGACGGUCUUGCUGUCACUUAUAGAUGGAUCCGCGCCGCAUUAGCUAGUUGGUAAGGUAACGGCUUACCAAGGCAACGAUGCGUAGCCGACCUGAGAGGGUGAUCGGCCACACUGGAACUGAGACACGGUCCAGACUCCUACGGGAGGCAGCAGUAGGGAAUCUUGCGCAAUGGGCGAAAGCCUGACGGAGCAACGCCGCGUGAGUGAAGAAGGUCUUCGGAUCGUAAAACUCUGUUAUUCGGGAAGAACAAAUGUGUAAGUAACUAUGCACGUCUUGACGGUACCUAAUCAGAAAGCCACGGCUAACUACGUG
RNAcentral lists this ribosomal RNA (497 nucleotides) under uncultured bacterium. Its description in RNAcentral is "partial 16S ribosomal RNA". It matches the Rfam family "Bacterial small subunit ribosomal RNA", at positions 28 to 507 of the family's 1533-position model. The record is from RNAcentral.